RNAcentral lists this ribosomal RNA (771 nucleotides) under uncultured bacterium. RNAcentral's name for it is "bacterial SSU rRNA". It matches the Rfam family "Bacterial small subunit ribosomal RNA", at positions 62 to 793 of the family's 1533-position model. The record is from RNAcentral.
UCGAGCGAGUCUGCCUUGAAGAUCGGAGUGCUUGCACUCUGUGAAACAAGAUACAGGCUAGCGGCGGACGGGUGAGUAACACGUGGGUAACCUGCCCAAGAGAUCGGGAUAACACCUGGAAACAGAUGCUAAUACCGGAUAACUACAGAUGAUGCCUAUCAACUGUUUAAAAGAUGGUUCUGCUAUCACUCUUGGAUGGACCUGCGGUGCAUUAGCUAGUUGGUAGGGUAACGGCCUACCAAGGCGAUGAUGCAUAGCCGAGUUGAGAGACUGAUCGGCCACAUUGGGACUGAGACACGGCCCAAACUCCUACGGGAGGCAGCAGUAGGGAAUCUUCCACAAUGGACGCAAGUCUGAUGGAGCAACGCCGCGUGAGUGAAGAAGGGUUUCGGCUCGUAAAGCUCUGUUGUUGGUGAAGAAGGACAGGGGUAGUAACUGACCUUUGUUUGACGGUAAUCAAUUAGAAAGUCACGGCUAACUACGUGCCAGCAGCCGCGGUAAUACGUAGGUGGCAAGCGUUGUCCGGAUUUAUUGGGCGUAAAGCGAGUGCAGGCGGCUCGAUAAGUCUGAUGUGAAAGCCUUCGGCUCAACCGGAGAAUUGCAUCAGAAACUGUCGAGCUUGAGUACAGAAGAGGAGAGUGGAACUCCAUGUGUAGCGGUGAAAUGCGUAGAUAUAUGGAAGAACACCGGUGGCGAAGGCGGCUCUCUGGUCUGUUACUGACGCUGAGGCUCGAAAGCAUGGGUAGCGAACAGGAUUAGAUACCCUGGUAG